GAGACAGAGUCAAACUUCUGAUGAUUGAGGAUGUUGGUACUGAGGUGACAGUUGUGAUGUCACUCUGGUAGCCCCGCCCUCCUCCUCUUCAUGUACAGGACCAUGCUGACUGCCAGCAGGUCAUCAGGUCGUCACACAACUGAAGACUGUUCACCAUGAUCCUAGCCUUCAUCCUCUGCUCUCUCUGUCUGUCCUGCAUCAAGGGUUCCUCUGCCAGUCCCACAGUUCAGCAGACUCCCUCUGCUCUGAUCAAGAACCUGGGAGACUCUGUUGACAAAGAGAUCCUUUGUUCACACAGCAUUCAAAACUAUGAUUGUAUCCUCUGGUACAAACAACAUUUAGAUGGGGCUCUCCAGCUACUUGGUUAUCUGAAUGUAAAUUUUCCAUAUCCAGAGGAAGAUGUGAAAGGACAAAUCAGCUUUGAGGGAAAUGGGCGUAGCGAGGCAAAGCUCUCCAUCUCCAAACUCUCUCCAAGUGACGGAGCAGUGUAUUUCUGUGCUGCUAGUCUGCACAGUGAUUCACCCUCCCUCUCUUCUCUACAAAAACCCUCCUGUGAUAAGAGUGGUGAUCAGUGUGUGUGAGCAGCCAGUCUGAGGCUGGCUCCCUCUCAACACCUGGGGCUCACGUCUGCCAGGGAAUCAGGAGCAGCACUUUGAUCAACGCUCACACACCACCACACUGGUGAUCUGCUGAUAAAGGUUCAACUGCAGUCUGACUUGUUCUGAGGACACGUCUGAAGAGCCCCACAGAGAAACAGCAUCUAACCUGGUGGAGGAGGUGACAGGACUGGAGGUGGAGAUCAGAGUCACGUAAUUUCCUCCCUCCAGAGAGAGAAGCACAGCUCAGUCAUGUUUCUGGUCAGUUGCUGAGAUGUGUUCAGCUCUGACAUCCUCAUCCAUGAUCUCUCUUGUCAUCCCAGUCUCUGUGUUGCUACUGGGGGCUGCAGGUCUCUCUGAGGGGAGUGAUGUCACCCAGACCCCAAGCAUCCUCUGGUCAAUCAAGGGGCAGCCUGCUGAGAUGGACUGCAGUCACACCAAGGGUGCUUCACACUACCAGAUGUACUGGUACAGACAGCUAGCAGGACAGGGGAUGAAGCAGGUUGUGUACAGUGUGCCCAGCAGCAAGCCUGACUUUGGAGAGUUUGGUGAAGUCAAAUUCUCUGCAAACAAGACUGUAGCAGAGAGAGGAUCUUUCACAGUGAAGAACUCUUCACCAGAAGACAACGGCAUGUACUUCUGUGCUGUUUAUGAACACAGUGAUACAGACAUCAUGUGCAGCUGCACAAAAACCCCCAAUUUCUCAUGAAAGGCCCUGAGUGACGUCAUGUGAGAUGACAGUGUGUUCUGCUGACACUCCCUCCAUCCACCUCCUCUGGGCAGAGUCACUGUGACACAGCAGGGGGUGGGUGUAGCUCAGGGGUAGACAGCCUCCUCCCUCUCAGUUAGUAAGCAGACUUUGUGAACAAUACUUCUCAAACCGUUACAAAGUGCUUUCCUGUACAUGUAUCAAUCCAACAAACCAACACAGAAUCAAAGCAAGACCCAGUAAAGACAACAGUGGUCCAGCAGUAACAGGUCCCAGAUUAUCUGAGUGAAGCCUCACUG
Non-coding RNA from Osmerus eperlanus (European smelt), 1604 nucleotides. NCBI's taxonomy places the organism in Eukaryota, Metazoa, Chordata, Actinopteri, Osmeriformes, Osmeridae. The record is from the annotation of a RefSeq genome assembly.